RNAcentral lists this ribosomal RNA (497 nucleotides) under uncultured bacterium. Its description in RNAcentral is "partial 16S ribosomal RNA". It matches the Rfam family "Bacterial small subunit ribosomal RNA", at positions 28 to 507 of the family's 1533-position model. The record is from RNAcentral.
GAUGAACGCUGGCGGCGUGCCUAGUACAUGCAAGUCGAGCGAACAGACGAGGAGCUUGCUCCUCUGACGUUAGCGGCGGACGGGUGAGUAACACGUGGAUAACCUACCUAUAAGACUGGGAUAACUUCGGGAAACCGGAGCUAAUACCGGAUAAUAUAUUGAACCGCAUGGUUCAAUAGUGAAAGACGGUUUUGCUGUCACUUAUAGAUGGAUCCGCGCCGCAUUAGCUAGUUGGUAAGGUAACGGCUUACCAAGGCAACGAUGCGUAGCCGACCCGAGAGGGUGAUCGGCCACACUGGAACUGAGACACGGUCCAGACUCCUACGGGAGGCAGCAGUAGGGAAUCUUCCGCAAUGGGCGAAAGCCUGACGGAGCAACGCCGCGUGAGUGAUGAAGGUCUUCGGAUCGUAAAACUCUGUUAUUAGGGAAGAACAAAUGUGUAAGUAACUAUGCACGUCUUGACGGUACCUAAUCAGAAAGCCACGGCUAACUACGUG